Orussus abietinus is the source of this 310-nucleotide long non-coding RNA. RefSeq lists it as uncharacterized. The record is from RefSeq and is a predicted model, not a curated record. The transcript has 3 exons. NCBI's taxonomy places the organism in Eukaryota, Metazoa, Arthropoda, Insecta, Hymenoptera, Orussidae.
AUGUAAGAUUUCAUCUCCCACCUCAGAAGAGUGAAGAUCAUCACAUCCAAACUGGUGGAUUAUUGGAAUGAAGGAUUCUACUGAUUUAUCAUCUUGCCUGACAUCAAUACAAUGGAUCAAUUUUGAAGUACACAAUGUCCUAAGUAUGCUCUGAAAUAUUGGAGACAACUAGAAGAAUUAGUAUAGCACAAAUCCAAUUUAUAUACAUCGUAAUACUUAUUAAAAUUACUUUGAUCCAGAUUGGAGCAAAUUUAUUAAAUCGGCUAUAUAAUUUUCACGGAGUUAAACAGUUGUCUUUGAAAGACAAAUU